This 359-nucleotide ribosomal RNA is filed under the name uncultured bacterium. RNAcentral describes it as "bacterial SSU rRNA". It matches the Rfam family "Bacterial small subunit ribosomal RNA", at positions 29 to 416 of the family's 1533-position model. The record is from RNAcentral.
AACGAACGCUGGCGGCAGGCUUAACACAUGCAAGUCGAACGAGUGUAGCAAUACACUAGUGGCGCACGGGUGCGUAACGCGUGGGAACCUUCCUCGUAGUUCGGAAUAACUCAGGGAAACUUGGGCUAAUACCGAAUGCCUCCUUCGGGAGAAAGAUUUAUCGCUACGAGAUGGGCCCGCGUCAGAUUAGGUAGUUGGUAGGGUAAUGGCCUACCAAGCCGACGAUCUGUAGCUGGUCNGAGAGGAUGAUCAGCCACACUGGGACUGAGACACGGCCAGACUCCUACGGGAGGCAGCAGUGGGAAUAUUGGACAAUGGGGCAACCCUGAUCCAGCCAUGCCGCGUGAGUGAAGAAGGCC